UGGGGAAUAUUGGACAAUGGGCGAAAGCCUGAUCCAGCCAUGCCGCGUGUGUGAAGAAGGUCUUCGGAUUGUAAAGCACUUUAAGUUGGGAGGAAGGGCAUUAACCUAAUACGUUAGUGUUUUGACGUUACCGACAGAAUAAGCACCGGCUAACUCUGUGCCAGCAGCCGCGGUAAUACAUAGGGUGCAAGCGUUAAUCGGAAUUACUGGGCGUAAAGCGCGCGUAGGUGGUUUGUUAAGUUGGAUGUGAAAUCCCCGGGCUCAACCUGGGAACUGCAUUCAAAACUGACUGACUAGAGUAUGGUAGAGGGUGGUGGAAUUUCCUGUGUAGCGGUGAAAUGCGUAGAUAUAGGAAGGAACACCAGUGGCGAAGGCGACCACCUGGACUAAUACUGACACUGAGGUGCGAAAGCGUGGGGAGCAAACA
Molecule: ribosomal RNA, 427 nt
Filed under: uncultured bacterium
Lineage: Bacteria
Description: partial 16S ribosomal RNA
Rfam family: Bacterial small subunit ribosomal RNA
Source: RNAcentral